Molecule: long non-coding RNA, 1346 nt
Filed under: Homo sapiens (human)
Lineage: Eukaryota; Metazoa; Chordata; Mammalia; Primates; Hominidae
Description: metastasis associated lung adenocarcinoma transcript 1
Source: RNAcentral
GGGAAGAGAGAGGGUGGGGGAGAAAAUGUUUUUUUCUAAGAUUUUCCACAGAUGCUAUAGUACUAUUGACAAACUGGGUUAGAGAAGGAGUGUACCGCUGUGCUGUUGGCACGAACACCUUCAGGGACUGGAGCUGCUUUUAUCCUUGGAAGAGUAUUCCCAGUUGAAGCUGAAAAGUACAGCACAGUGCAGCUUUGGUUCAUAUUCAGUCAUCUCAGGAGAACUUCAGAAGAGCUUGAGUAGGCCAAAUGUUGAAGUUAAGUUUUCCAAUAAUGUGACUUCUUAAAAGUUUUAUUAAAGGGGAGGGGCAAAUAUUGGCAAUUAGUUGGCAGUGGCCUGUUACGGUUGGGAUUGGUGGGGUGGGUUUAGGUAAUUGUUUAGUUUAUGAUUGCAGAUAAACUCAUGCCAGAGAACUUAAAGUCUUAGAAUGGAAAAAGUAAAGAAAUAUCAACUUCCAAGUUGGCAAGUAACUCCCAAUGAUUUAGUUUUUUUCCCCCCAGUUUGAAUUGGGAAGCUGGGGGAAGUUAAAUAUGAGCCACUGGGUGUACCAGUGCAUUAAUUUGGGCAAGGAAAGUGUCAUAAUUUGAUACUGUAUCUGUUUUCCUUCAAAGUAUAGAGCUUUUGGGGAAGGAAAGUAUUGAACUGGGGGUUGGUCUGGCCUACUGGGCUGACAUUAACUACAAUUAUGGGAAAUGCAAAAGUUGUUUGGAUAUGGUAGUGUGUGGUUCUCUUUUGGAAUUUUUUUCAGGUGAUUUAAUAAUAAUUUAAAACUACUAUAGAAACUGCAGAGCAAAGGAAGUGGCUUAAUGAUCCUGAAGGGAUUUCUUCUGAUGGUAGCUUUUGUAUUAUCAAGUAUCUCUUCGUUAUCAGAAGAGUUGCUUCAUUUCAUCUGGGAGCAGAAAACAGCAGGCAGCUGUUAACAGAUAAGUUUAACUUGCAUCUGCAGUAUUGCAUGUUAGGGAUAAGUGCUUAUUUUUAAGAGCUGUGGAGUUCUUAAAUAUCAACCAUGGCACUUUCUCCUGACCCCUUCCCUAGGGGAUUUCAGGAUUGAGAAAUUUUUCCAUCGAGCCUUUUUAAAAUUGUAGGACUUGUUCCUGUGGGCUUCAGUGAUGGGAUAGUACACUUCACUCAGAGGCAUUUGCAUCUUUAAAUAAUUUCUUAAAAGCCUCUAAAGUGAUCAGUGCCUUGAUGCCAACUAAGGAAAUUUGUUUAGCAUUGAAUCUCUGAAGGCUCUAUGAAAGGAAUAGCAUGAUGUGCUGUUAGAAUCAGAUGUUACUGCUAAAAUUUACAUGUUGUGAUGUAAAUUGUGUAGAAAACCAUUAAAUCAUUCAAAAUAAUAAACUAUU